AGAAGCCCUCAGGACCCCAGGGAGCUGCUGUUGUAGCAGAAAGCCCCUUUUCCUCUUGCCUGCAUUUGCUUUCCCAUUUUUGGAUAUGUUUCUCCUCUUACACCGUUUCUUCCUUCCUCUUUCUUUCACUAUAAGAUAAGGAAUUGUGUUUUAAAGUUUGUAUGUGUGUAUUUUGUAUCUCCCCUUGUAUUUUGGCAUUUUUAUCUAUUUGUGUGCCUUGGCAUUACUCUUGUAGCUUAUAUUUUAUACUCUUCACCUUUUGAGUAAAUGUGUUUUAGUUUUAGAAGUAAGUUAUACACUGUAACAAUGUUAACAAGGGCAGGAAUCAAACUGCUGCUUACCUGUAUCAGACAGGCCCUUGAAAGAGCAAGUGAAUCGGUGAUUGAAUGCGUAACACAGUAGCAGGCUUCAUUAACAAGCGGCAGUUAACACCUACGGAAACCGCAGAUCAACCAACAGAAGAAAUCAAUAGGAGACAAUGUAGCAACCGGGAAUUCUCUAAACUUCACUAGAAGCCCGGGUCUGAGUUAAUCAAUGCUGGGGACCAACUUUUGGGGCUGAAUAUCUCCAGAUCGACCACUUCCAGAGCCCUAUUCAUGACAGCGGUAAAUUAAUCAAAAUUCAUCAAUGGACUCCCAAACCUGCAUGUACAUGCAGACAACACCUGGGGCUGACAGAUGCCAUCCAGUAGCCACCCAGGGGGAAAUCCCACGAGGGUCAACGACCCGUGGAUUGGGCAAACCUGAAAAUUGGGGAGUCACCAAAGUCUGCCAAGGACAGAUAAAAAGCAGUGAAAAGUGACCUUCGGUGGCGCCUCUUGAUCUCCAAGGUGACCAGCACCCGACCUGUCCCCUUCUGGAGGAUAACACCACGCUGGAAGAAGCCUCGACUGGCCAUUGAUGGUAGACCUCAGCGCUUGUAGGAUAGGUAUACCCAACUCUGGUGCCUCCCCCCACAAACAUUUGUAGCUCGCUACUGUGUGUGUGCAUGUGUGUGUGUGUGAGGGGAUGAGCCCCAAGGUUUAUGAUCUGACUUCAUUACAGUGUUUCAAUCUGCCUAAUAAACCAGAAUUUCAAGGAUCCUGAGUUGGACAUUUGUAGCCAACAUUAUUUGGUGGAGAAUGUGGGCAUUAUUCUAGGAUUAUUAGCAGAUUAGUAAUUGGGGAGACCAUGUCUCCAGACAGAACCCACGUCCAUGGAGGUGGGUGGGCAAUAAUCACCCAAGGGGGUGGACUAAAAUUUAGACUCACCCAAGGAGGUGGGCAGAGCCAAGGAGGGUCUGGAUUUAGAAGCCACCCCAGGGGGUGGACUAGGAUUUAGACUCACCCAAAGGGGUGGGCAGACCCAAGGAGGGUCUGCAUUUAGUUGUCACCUAAGGGGGUGGGCAUAUCCCAAGGAAGGGAUUUGGUUGUAGAAUUUCAGUGGCAGAGUGAGUUGGGAGCAUGAGGGCUCAAGGAAACUGACAGGCUUGAGGCAUGUUGAGGAAAAUGUCUUUGUUUAGG
This is a long non-coding RNA of Gavialis gangeticus (Gharial), 1501 nucleotides long. RefSeq lists it as uncharacterized. Lineage: Eukaryota; Metazoa; Chordata; Crocodylia; Gavialidae. The transcript is spliced from 4 exons. The record is from RefSeq and is a predicted model, not a curated record.